CUACUCGAGGCAGUCAUUUGGUAGUAUGGAAAUUAUAGGAUUUAAUACCUCCAAAAGGCAGCCUUUGGAAUCUUGAGUAUGCCAUAAAACAUCUCCAUAAGAGAAGAUGGGUCCCAGUGGACUAGAUGAUCUCAGAGAUUUCGUUGUGGUAUAUAUUCUAUAUUCAUAUGACUAGGUGGAGAGGCUUUGGUACAAUUAUGACAAUGUCAUCUGUGAAUAAAAACAUUUGAAGAAUCCCUCCAUAAGAACUUCUGUUUGAAUCUGCAUUUAAGCCUCCUAAAACAUGAAAAUGGUGGUUCGUUCUGCUGCUUGAUGACAUCCAUAGAAUUUACUGUGUUAGAAACUAUAGAAUGUAUGGAAAUCUGCACAUGGUCUCUGCUUGAUAUCAGCAAAGAGGAUAGAGCCCAGCCCUUGAGACAGAGAGCCAGUAUAAAUACAGCUUAUGAUCACCAGGAAAAGAAACAUGAACUCAGAAGAAUUAAGUGGAAGUUGUUCCCAAAAUCACUGGAAAGAGAUUCAAAGAUUAUACAUAAACCAUAGCUUUAUUAUCAGCGAUCACAUAUGUACAAAAAGUCAUUUAAAGCCCUCAAUGGUAUUCAUGAUUACAGAAGGAGUUGACUUGGAUCUGUAGCAAGUAGCUAUUUUAAGCAAUGCUGAAACACAAAAAUAGAAAACCAGAGGAAGCAUAUUUUUCCAUGUCUUUUUAGAGUCAAGCACCUCUUCCACUCCCAUCCCUUGGGACUUGGAUCUAAAGAUCAGAUAUCCUAGGGGCAUUUACAAUAUAUUAAAAAUAUAAAUGUUUUCUUGGUGUGAGAAACCAUAGAUUGAUUGUUAUUUGCUUUAGCAAAGGGGGAUAUCUACACUGAAAAGAUUACAUAUAGAUUUUAAUCUAUUUUUAAAAU
RNAcentral lists this long non-coding RNA (902 nucleotides) under Monodelphis domestica (gray short-tailed opossum). Its description in RNAcentral is "lncRNA (ENSMODG00000049278.1)". The record is from RNAcentral. Lineage: Eukaryota; Metazoa; Chordata; Mammalia; Didelphimorphia; Didelphidae.